UGGGGAAUUUUGGACAAUGGGGGAAACCCUGAUCCAGCCAUCCCGCGUGUGCGAUGAAGGCCUUCGGGUUGUAAAGCACUUUUGGCAGGAAAGAAACGUCGCGGGUUAAUACCCCGCGAAACUGACGGUACCUGCAGAAUAAGCACCGGCUAACUACGUGCCAGCAGCCGCGGUAAUACGUAGGGUGCAAGCGUUAAUCGGAAUUACUGGGCGUAAAGCGUGCGCAGGCGGUUCGGAAAGAAAGAUGUGAAAUCCCAGAGCUUAACUUUGGAACUGCAUUUUUAACUACCGGGCUAGAGUGUGUCAGAGGGAGGUGGAAUUCCGCGUGUAGCAGUGAAAUGCGUAGAUAUGCGGAGGAACACCGAUGGCGAAGGCAGCCUCCUGGGAUAACACUGACGCUCAUGCACGAAAGCGUGGGGAGCAAACAGGAUUAGAUACCCUGGUAGUCCACGCCCUAAACGAUGUCAACUAGCUGUUGGGGCCUUCGGGCCUUGGUAGCGCAGCUAACGCGUGAAGUUGACCGCCUGGGGGAGUACGGUCGCAAGAUUAAAACUUAAAGGAAUUG
Molecule: ribosomal RNA, 565 nt
Filed under: uncultured bacterium
Lineage: Bacteria
Description: partial 16S ribosomal RNA
Rfam family: Bacterial small subunit ribosomal RNA
Source: RNAcentral